This is an RNA transcript of Malania oleifera, 3184 nucleotides long. It is a transcript of the gene named protein PHOX1-like, with no coding region annotated. The record is from RefSeq and is a predicted model, not a curated record. Lineage: Eukaryota; Viridiplantae; Streptophyta; Magnoliopsida; Santalales; Ximeniaceae. The transcript is spliced from 3 exons.
CUUUUACUAAACCUACUCCCUUCCACCCUGAAAUUUGAAAGCGCUGACCCAAAUCUGAUGAUUAGGGGGAAGCUUCCUUUCAGGCUUUUCACCAAAUUCCAGCUCACCUGUUUAGAGCGUAUGCGAACGCCCACGCGCUUCAAAGUGAAAUGGGGCAGGACAUGGUUGGGUGCUGACGAGUUGCCAGGCAAAAAAAUCCCUCGAGUGGGAUAGAAAGUGAUUCUAUUCCAGUUGCCGUCGUCAUUUUCCUCAUUAAGGUUUUGUGAUUAAUGGAAUUGCUGGGCUUCCGGAUUAAGACAGAUAUAUUUUUUGCCAAGUCUUUUCUUAUUUCGUGUUUAGGAUGUCAUUUGGUAAUAAGCAAUAGAAGUUUGGAUUUGCUUUUGAAAAGGUUUUGUGGGUUUUGGUUGUUUUGAACUUGGAGCAGAGACGAAUUUGCUGAUAUUGUUUUUGGUUGCUCUUCCAUGCAAUCGUAUGAAUUUUUGAAAUGGUAUUUGACUAGAGUCUGAAUCAGAGCUCUAAAAGCUUUGAUUUAUUUUGAUAUUUAUUAUUAUUAUUAUUAUUAUUAUUAUUAUUAUUAUUAUCAAUGGGAAAGCCUACUGGAAGGAAGAAGAAGCAGGUGGGAUCGAAGCCUAGUAAUGGCAACGUGAAGCACAGCAAAGCUUCCGAUCGAACAGCUAAAGCCUUCGAUGAAGACACGGCUGUGUUCGUCGCCAUGUCCCAAGAGCUGAAGGAAGAAGGAAACAAACUCUUCCAGAGGCGCGAUCACGAAGGCGCCAUUUUGAGGUAUGAGAAAGCCCUGAAGUUGCUUCCCCGUAGCCACAUAGACGUCGCCCACCUGCGCACUAACAUGGCGGCGUGCUUUAUGCAAAUGGGUCUCGGCGAAUACCCGCGGGCGAUCAAUGAGUGCAAUUUAGCGCUCGAAGUGGCGCCCAGGUAUAGCAAGGCGCUGGUGAGGAGGGCGAGGUGUUAUGAGGCUUUGAAUAGGCUUAAUUUUGCUUUGAGGGAUGCUCACAGCGUUUUAAGCGUUGAACCAAACAACAUGACGGCGCUGGAGAUUGCUGGUAGAGUGAAGAAGACUAUGGAGGACAGGGGUGAUAAGGUGGACGAUAAAGAGAUUGUUUUGACUGCGGCAUUUGUGGAGUCGCCGCUGAGUAAAGUCGUGAAAGAAAAGGGGAAGAAGAAGAAGAGUGGGAAAGUUGAGGAAAAGAAAGUGGAUGAUAGGUUGGUGGCGGGGAAGAGUCUUGGUGUUGUGAAGGAAGAGAAGGUAAAGGUUCGUGCAGAGGAGAAUGGUAGUGUUGUGAAGGAAAAAGAAGUUGUCACAAAGACAGUGAAGUUGGUUUUGGGGGAGGAUAUAAGGUGGGCGCAGUUGCCAGUGAAUUGUAGUAUCAAUAUAGUAAGGGAUGUAGUUUUGGAUAGAUUUCCAAGCUUGAAGGGCAUUCUUAUUAAGUAUAGGGAUCCAGAAGGUGAUUUGGUUACAAUUACUAGGACUGAUGAACUGAGGAUGGUUGAAUCAUUAAGUGGUUCACAGGGUUCUCUCAGAUUUUACAUUACUGAAGUUAAUCCGGAUCAAGAACCCGUAUAUGAGGGAAUGAGCAAUGGGGUGGUGGGGUGCAAGGAUGACAGGAAAGCUACAAAUGUUUCUGCAGAUGGGAAUUUGGGAAAUGGUAGGGAAAUGGAGAAGAAGUCAAGUUGUAUUGAUGAUUGGAUUGUUCAGUUUGCUGGGUUGUUCAAGAACCAUGUUGGGUUCAAUUCUGAUUCAUAUUUGGACCUUCAUGAGCUUGGGAUGAAAUUAUACUCGGAAGCAAUGGAGGAUACUUUCUCAAGUGAAGAGGCCCAAGAACUCUUUGAAAUUGCAGCGGAGAAGUUUCAAGAGAUGGCAGCUUUAGCCUUGUUCAAUUGGGGAAAUGUUCAUAUGUCUAGGGCGAGAAAGCGAGUAUUCUUUUCAGAAGAUGGUUCGAGGGAAUCUAUGCUUGCGCAGAUCAAAACUGCCUAUGAUUGGGCGUAUGAAGAGUAUAAAAAAGCAGGAAUGAGGUAUGAAGAAGCUCUGAAAAUUAAACCAGACUUUUAUGAAGGUUGUCUUGCACUUGGGCAGCAACAGUUUGAGCAGGCAAAACUUUGUUGGUAUUAUGCCAUUGGGAGCAAGGUUAAUAUGGAGCCAGGGCCUUCUUCCGAGGUCCUGCAGCUUUAUAACAAGGCUGAGGACAGCAUGGAGAAGGGAAUGCAAAUGUGGGAGGAGAUGGAAGAGCAGCGUCUAAAUGGACUAAGCAAAUCAGAUAAAUAUAAAGCCCAACUACAACAGAUGGGUUUGGAUUCUCUUUUUAAAGAAGAAUCUGUGGAUGAAGCUGCUGAGCAAGCUGCAAACAUGAGGUCGCAGAUAUACCUUUUGUGGGGUACCUUGCUGUAUGAGCGUUCUAUUGUGGAAUUCAAGCUGGGGCUACCAGGCUGGGAAGAAUGUUUGGAGGUCGCGGUUGAAAAAUUUGAACUUGCUGGAGCCUCUCCAACGGAUAUUGCUGUCAUGAUAAAGAACCAUUGUUCCAAUGAAGCUGCAUCAGAAGGAUUAGGAUUCAAAAUUGAUGAGAUAGUGCAGGCAUGGAAUGAGAUGUACGAUGCUAAAAGAUGGCAGAUUGGUACUCCAUCUUUCAGGCUGGAACCAUUAUUUCGCCGGCAGGUUCCAAAACUUCAUUAUAUCUUGGAGCAGUUUUGAGUUUUUGUUUGUGAUUGUUCAUUCUUGGAGACAUUAAUUGGUGUAUUCAUGUUAUUACUCCAUUUUCCCUGAGCUGGGCUGCUGCUGCCAACUAGAACAGGUUUUUUUUUUCUCCAUCAGUCAUGUUCUGCUUCAGCUGAUUGCUUUUGGGAAGUGAAGAUUGAGCUAGUUGUCAUGUGUUGGUUUGGGAAUGGGAGUGGCCUUUUGAUUGGGCCAGGUUAUUCAUUUUUCUUUUCUUGGUUGGUUUUUCCUUGAAGGCCAUCAAGUGGCAGGAGUUUCGUUUUUUUAGAGUCACAGGAGAGUUCAUGGUUUGAGAAAGUAAGUUUAUGAUGGGAUUCAGAAAGUCAUUAAAAGAAUGGCUGGCUAGAGCAUUGUAUUCUAUAAUAACCAUAGAGGUUUGUUGUUCAAUAUAUGUUCUCAGUUUGCUCAUCUGUAAACGAUUUUUUGUGUUUUUUAUAUAGCAGUAUACAGCUAUCUCUA